RNAcentral lists this long non-coding RNA (3321 nucleotides) under Mustela putorius furo (domestic ferret). Its description in RNAcentral is "lncRNA (ENSMPUG00000030787.1)". The record is from RNAcentral. Lineage: Eukaryota; Metazoa; Chordata; Mammalia; Carnivora; Mustelidae.
UGUGACUUUGCUUGUGGAAGAAAAUUCCUAAGAGGGUGGGCCCUCCCAGAAUGGCCUGUGAUCCCUUUGCGCAUGCUCAGAGACUCGUCCUGGGCCAAGCCCUCACCCUCUCUUCUUCCAGCCCCGCAAGGCUGUGGCAGGCGAAAUGUCAAGAACUCCCAUGCAGAAUGCAGUGCAAAGAGGGAAAGCCACUUGUCAGACUCUCUUCCUCUGCAGAAAGCUGUGUCCCCAUCAUGGGCUGAAUUGUGUAUUCCAGUUCUCGUGUUAAAGCCCUGUCCCUGGUACCUCAGGAUGUGACUGUAUUGGGAGAAAGGACAUUUAAGGAGGUGAUUAUGGUUGAAUGGGGUCAUCAGCGUGGGCCCUGAUUCCAGAGGACUGGUGUCCUUUUAAGAAGAGGAACAGCCACCAGGGAUGCGAAAGCACAGAGGAAAGGCCAGGUGAGGACAGCACGAGAAGACACUGCCGGCAAGCCAAGGAGUAGCCCUCGGGAGAAACGAAACUUGCGGAUGGUUUGAUCUCGGAUUUCCAGCCUCUAGAACCAUGAGGGAAGAAUGUCUGGUUAAGGCCCUCCCAGCCUGUGUACUUUGUUGGGGCAGCCCUAGCUGACUGAAAUAUAAGGCUGCUCUCUCCUCCCGGCCUGGCUGUCUCCUCACACCCAGAGCCACAGGAGGAGCCUGGGAUGCAGGGCAACACAAGGAGGAAGGGCAGGGGGCACCUAUCCAACACUCCCCUCAGAAUCUUUUCUGUCUACAGUGGGUGCCUGGACAAGCCUAUCUUUGCCAGGAAUAUAAAGGCCUCAAGGGGUGCCAGGAACGCUCAGCCUGAGGGGUCCUAUGGCUGGGAACAGACUAAGGUUAAUUAAUAUUUGGCCUGUGGAUCCAAAGAGAGGGAAAUCUUUUGUGUCCACGGGAGGGGGUGUGUAGUAGAAGGAAGAAGCUUAACCCUGAAUUCCACCCUGAGACCUGUCACUUUCCUAGUCCACACUCACCUGGCUCCAGGUUCCCUGCAUACAGAGCUUAGGUUACUGGUAGGUCAGCCCUUCUCAUGCUGAAAUGUGAUGUGACUCACACAAGUUUUGUGUUAAAAUGUAGAUCUGAUUGAGUAGGUCUAUGUGGGGCCCAUGAAUGUGCAUUUCCAACCAGCUCCCAGGAGACACUGAUGCUGCUAGGGGUUCACAUCUGAAUAGCAAGAUGGCAUCUCCAGGCUCAGUCUAAGCAGCCUCUCGGCCCCUCAUCUUAUCUUCUGCUUAACAAGCCUGUAUAGUUCCUGGUUGGUCCAGAUGUUGGGACAGCAGGAGACUGAGGCCAGCAAGAAGAGUAUGGUUGAGGCCAGACCCAUCAGAUCUGGACCAAGAGGCUCCUCACUACUCUGAGACCUCAGAUGAGAGCCUUAACCACCUAGAGACUCAGUUUUGUUUUCUGCAAAAUGGGUCAGUAGACUUACCUCAUGGGGGUUUGUGUGAGUGUUGAGAUAACACAUAUAAAAUGCCUAGAACAGGACCAGAAGCAUUAGAAGUAAAGUAGUCAACAAAUGUUGGGUCCCCUUCUUCUCUUACCUAAACCCAAGAAUCUUACAGUCUGUGGGGAAGUCCUGAUUUGGUGGAGAAAUUUCAAAGAACAAUUUAUAUUUCAUAAGAUAGAACUAAAAUUAUUUUUAGUGUUUUGCUAACUUUAGACAGAAAAGGAAAAAAUGAAUUAUCUAGGAGUCAAAUGAGGAUUUGAUGGUCAGAGACUUUUGGGGCAGAGGUUGAGGGUCUUACCCCAGUAUAGGACAGGAGAUAGGGUAUUGGACUGUACUGAGGGGGGUGAGUGGCUAGAACUGAGGCCCCUGCAUAAAGUCUAGAGUCUCAAAGAGCUGCCCCUUUCCAUUUAGUAGAAACUAACAUACUCAAGAAUUCUGUAAAAAAAUUGCUGUUUAGAAAAGAGGAGAGAGGAAAGUUAUCUAUGAAAAAUUGAAAUGCUAGGUCUAUGUACACACAGAUGUGCAAUCCAAAUUCGUACUACCAGCCUGGAAUGGGAAUUCCAAGUAGAGAAAUAAAAUAAGUGUUCAGGACCAUUAAAGUCCUACAUAUUUAGCAGAGGCAAAUGUGAAAUUAUUGUUGUAGGGAAACUUUUACAACCCAAGGGUCAAGGGAGUCCCACAGAAAAAAACAGCCUCACUGAAGAUGAGCUGACAAUGAGAAUUGAAAACCAACCACCCAAGAAAACGAACCACAAUGAGACAGAGUCCACAGAUGAAAUAGAACUAGCACCUUCAAAAGUGAAAACAGUACAUUCAUCUGAAAAGAACAAUGGUAUAAGCAUAUUUCAAAGUAUUGGAGAGCUAAAAGAAUGAAUGAAAAUCACAAUAAAAAGAUUAGUCAGUGUGGAAAGUGAAAAACAUUGUCCUUGAACAUAAGGACCAGUGGGCAGGAUAAGACACAGAUUACGUACACAGCUGAAGAAAUAGUAAAUUGGAAGGCAGUUCUGAGGAAAUUAAAUAGAACACAGCACAGGAAGGAAAAGAUAUAGAAAGAUCAGCUAAGAGACGUGGGGAGGGGGACUGAACAGAUUCCUUGAAAUGCAAGUUUUAGGAGAAAAUACAGUACAUGAAGUACCAGCAAUACUUGAAAGAUAAUGGCUGAGAAUCUUUCAGAUUUCAAGAAAAAUGCACAUUUUCAUUUAUAGGAAGCACAGGAGUUCUGUGAAGAAUGUAUAAACACAGAACCAUACUAGAUUAAUUAAGACUAGAAAAUAUGAAAGAGAUAGAAAUUCUCCCCUCAAAGAUAAUAUACUGAUGAUAGAUUCUUUACUGCAACAAUUAAUGCCAAAACAAGAGAAUAAUGACAUUUUCAGGAAAGCAGGGCCUAUGGAAGUUUCUCUCUUAGAAAGUUAUCGAUAAGUUCACUACUAAAAGACAGGCUAUAAUAACGUGGAUAUUAAACUCAAGCUAGGAGUUGCCAGGAAUAAUAGAGACUAAAAAAAGGAUGGUAAAAAUAUUGGGAAAUCUGAAAGAUCUUUGACUGGAAAAAAAAAAUAAAACUUUUGUAAGGCUUAAGGACAAGCACAACUAAAAUACUAAAAACAUACAGUAACAUGGUAGGUGAAGAGUAGAAUCAGAAAUGAUGUGUUUCAGUAUCAUCUUGUUCAAGAGGUAAGUAAAAGUAGUGACUAAUUUUAUAUUAAUUAACUUAAGUAUAUAAAAUAAAAUUUUGAGAGUGACUACAAACAUGGAAAUAGAAUGCAAACUUCAAAACCAUUAGAAGGAAAAACAAGAAAACUUAAUCCAUUUGACAGAAGAUAGGAAUAAGAAGUAAGGAAACAGUGAAUAAAAGAACCUGGU